RNAcentral lists this ribosomal RNA (501 nucleotides) under uncultured bacterium. Its description in RNAcentral is "bacterial SSU rRNA". It matches the Rfam family "Bacterial small subunit ribosomal RNA", at positions 124 to 640 of the family's 1533-position model. The record is from RNAcentral.
ACCUGCCCCGUGGUCUGGGAUAGCCCUCCGAAAGGGGGAGUAAUACCGGAUGGCCUCACACAGUGGCAUCACUGUAUGAGUAAAGCUUUUAAGCGCCAUGGGAGGGGGUUGCGGCCUAUCAGCUGGUUGGCGGGGUAACGGCCCACCAAGGCGACGACGGGUAGCUGGUCUGAGAGGAUGGUCAGCCGGACUGGGACUGAGACACGGCCCAGACUCCUACGGGGGGCAGCAAUCAGGAAUCUUGCGCAAUGGGGGAAACCCUGACGCAGCGACGUCGCGUGGAGGAAGACGGCCUUCGGGUUGUAAACUCCUUUUAUGAGGGAAGAGCAAGGACGGUACCUCAUGAAUAAGCCCCGGCUAACUCCGUGCCAGCAGCCGCGGUAAUACGGAGGGGGCGAGCGUUGUCCGAAUUUAUUGGGCGUAAGGCGCGUGUAGGCGGAGAUCCAAGCCUGGGGUGAAAGGUUGGGGCUCAACCCCAAGAGUGCCCUGGGGACUGGAUUU